This 276-nucleotide long non-coding RNA is filed under the name Homo sapiens (human). RNAcentral describes it as "non-protein coding lnc-EIF2AK3-1:2". Lineage: Eukaryota; Metazoa; Chordata; Mammalia; Primates; Hominidae. The record is from RNAcentral.
UGAAAACAGAUUUAUCUUUUCUUCUCUACCUUUAAGGUUUCUUGCUGUUGAGAAUAGUUAAGGGACGAGGAAUUCUUAUUGCCCCCAUUUUACAGGCAAAGAAACUAAUGCUGACCCCAACCUUACCGACCACUUGGAGGUCCCUAAAAACACAUGACCUUUGUGUUUCUCGGCUGUUAGUGGAAUCCUUUCUGUCUGCUCAUGAACUCAUCUUCAAACGCAUUCCAGGCCUUCAGAACUCUUCCGUGAGCGCAAGUCACUGAUUGCACUAGAAAG